CCUACGGGUGGCAGCAGUGAGGAAUAUUGGUCAAUGGACGGAAGUCUGAACCAGCCAAGUAACGUGAAGGAUGACUGCCCUAUGGGUUGUAAACUUCUUUUAUAUGGGAAUAAAGUGUUCCACGUGUGGGUUUUUGUAUGUACCAUAUGAAUAAGGAUCGGCUAACUCCGUGCCAGCAGCCGCGGUAAUACGGAGGAUCCGAGCGUUAUCCGGAUUUAUUGGGUUUAAAGGGAGCGUAGGUGGGUUGUUAAGUCAGUUGUGAAAGUUUGCGGCUCAACCGUAAAAUUGCAGUUGAUACUGGCAGUCUUGAGUACAGUAGAGGUGGGCGGAAUUCGUGGUGUAGCGGUGAAAUGCUUAGAUAUCACGAAGAACUCCGAUUGCGAAGGCAGCUUACUGGACUGCAACUGACACUGAUGCUCGAAAGUGUGGGUAUCAAACAGGAUUAGAUACCCUUGUAGUC
This 460-nucleotide ribosomal RNA is filed under the name uncultured bacterium. RNAcentral describes it as "partial 16S ribosomal RNA". It matches the Rfam family "Bacterial small subunit ribosomal RNA", at positions 338 to 795 of the family's 1533-position model. The record is from RNAcentral.